CUACAUCUACCCUGUAGAUCCGAAUUUGUUUGACAUUGGGCGACAAAUUCGGUUCUAGAGAGGUUUGUGUG
Molecule: non-coding RNA, 71 nt
Organism: Zootermopsis nevadensis
Lineage: Eukaryota; Metazoa; Arthropoda; Insecta; Blattodea; Termopsidae
Source: Rfam